GACGAACGCUGGCGGCGUGCCUAACACAUGCAAGUCGAACGAAACACCCCUCCCGAAUAUCGCCCCAGCUCGCAGCAGAUUGAUUCAUUCCCGUUGACUGAGUGUCGCACGGGUGAGUAACGCGUGGGUAACCUGCCUCACAGCGGGGGACAACAGUAGGACACGACUGUUAAUACCGCUUAGUAUGAAUAAUUCGUAUGGUAUCUUCUUGAAAGAUUUAUCACUAUGGGAUGGUCCCGCGUCUGAUUAGCUAGUUGGUAGGGUAACGGCUUACCAAGGCGACGAUCAGUAGCCGGCGUGAGAGGAUGAACAGCCACAUUGGGACUGAGACACGGCCCAGACUCCUACGGGAGGCAGCAGUGGGGAAUAUUGCACAAUGGGGGAAAGCCUGAUGCAGCGACGCCGCGUGAGUGAAGAAGUAUUUAGGUAUGUAAAGCUCUAUUAGCCGGGAAGAUAAUGACGGUACCUGAAUAAGAAGCCCCGGCUAACUACGUG
This 495-nucleotide ribosomal RNA is filed under the name uncultured bacterium. Its description in RNAcentral is "partial 16S ribosomal RNA". It matches the Rfam family "Bacterial small subunit ribosomal RNA", at positions 28 to 507 of the family's 1533-position model. The record is from RNAcentral.